Molecule: small RNA, 308 nt
Filed under: Pongo abelii (Sumatran orangutan)
Lineage: Eukaryota; Metazoa; Chordata; Mammalia; Primates; Hominidae
Description: retained intron
Source: RNAcentral
GACGAAUGCUGCAAUACCUAACUGUGAAUGAUUUACUCUUCUUAAAAGUCACCAGCCAACUACAUCAUCUCAGCAUCAAAUGUGCCAUUCAUGUGCUGCAUGUCAACAAGUUCAACCCCCACUGCCUGCACCGGCGGCCAGCUGAUGAGAGUAACCUUUCUCCUUCAGAAGUUGUACAGUGGUCCAACCACAGGGUGAUGGAGUGGUUACGAUCUGUGGACCUGGCAGAGUAUGCACCCAAUCUUCGAGGGAGUGGAGUCCAUGGAGGCCUCAUUGUAAGUGGCUCUCUGGCCUAGCCCACCUGCCUU